GGAUAUAGCUCAGUUGGUUAGAGCGCCAGGUUGUGGCCCUGGAGGCCGACGGUUCGAAUCCGUUUAUC
Molecule: transfer RNA, 68 nt
Filed under: human gut metagenome
Rfam family: tRNA
About the family: Transfer RNA (tRNA) molecules are approximately 80 nucleotides in length. Their secondary structure includes four short double-helical elements and three loops (D, anti-codon, and T loops).
Source: RNAcentral